This 25-nucleotide non-coding RNA is filed under the name Mus musculus (house mouse). The record is from RNAcentral. Lineage: Eukaryota; Metazoa; Chordata; Mammalia; Rodentia; Muridae.
UGAGAUUAGUGAUCCUUGGCCUUGC